Molecule: ribosomal RNA, 464 nt
Filed under: uncultured bacterium
Lineage: Bacteria
Description: partial 16S ribosomal RNA
Rfam family: Bacterial small subunit ribosomal RNA
Source: RNAcentral
CUACGGGGGGCAGCAGUGGGGAAUAUUGCACAAUGGGCGCAAGCCUGAUGCAGCCAUGCCGCGUGUAUGAAGAAGGCCUUCGGGUUGUAAAGUACUUUCAGCGGGGAGGAAGGGAGUAAAGUUAAUACCUUUGCUCAUUGACGUUACCCGCAGAAGAAGCACCGGCUAACUCCGUGCCAGCAGCCGCGGUAAUACGGAGGGUGCAAGCGUUAAUCGGAAUUACUGGGCGUAAAGCGCACGCAGGCGGUUUGUUAAGUCAGAUGUGAAAUCCCCGGGCUCAACCUGGGAACUGCAUCUGAUACUGGGAAGGUUGAGUCUCGUAGAGGGGGGUAGAAUUCCAGGUGUAGCGGUGAAAUGCGUAGAGAUCUGGAGGAAUACCGGUGGCGAAGGCGGCCCCCUGGACGAAGACUGACGCUCAGGUGCGAAAGCGUGGGGAGCAAACAGGAUUAGAUACCCCGGUAGUC